RNAcentral lists this ribosomal RNA (426 nucleotides) under uncultured bacterium. RNAcentral describes it as "bacterial SSU rRNA". It matches the Rfam family "Bacterial small subunit ribosomal RNA", at positions 356 to 773 of the family's 1533-position model. The record is from RNAcentral.
AGGGAAUCUUCCGCAAUGGACGAAAGUCUGACGGAGCAACGCCGCGUGAGUGAUGAAGGUUUUCGGAUCGUAAAACUCUGUUGUUAGGGAAGAACAAGUACCGUUCGAAUAGGGCGGCACCUUGACGGUACCUAACCAGAAAGCGACGGCUAACUACGUGCCAGCAGCCGCGGUAAUACGUAGGUGGCAAGCGUUGUCCGGAAUUAUUGGGCGUAAAGCGCGCGCAGGCGGUUUCUUAAGUCUGAUGUGAAAGCCCCCGGCUCAACCGGGGAGGGUCAUUGGAAACUGGGGAACUUGAGUGCAGAAGAGGAGAGUGGAAUUCCACGUGUAGCGGUGAAAUGCGUAGAGAUGUGGAGGAACACCAGUGGCGAGGGCGGCUCUCUGGUCUGUAACUGACGCUGAGGCGCGAAAGCGUGGGGAGCAAAC